ACUUAGUUACGACUUCAUUCCCAGUGAGAAUUUCUACCGUGGGAUGGCAACGUCUAUGAAAAGUUAGCAUUAUUUCUGGUAAAACUCCACUCCCAUGGUGAGCGGCGCAGACCACCCGGGAACGCAUUCUCAUCGGGUGACAUGUGCUGACUAGUGACACACUAUGACAUCUCCGAUGCAUGCCGAGUUGCAGACUGCGAUCCGGAAUUACGAUCGGGCUUGGGACACCCUUCGCGGGUUGGCGACUCUGUCCCGACCAUUGUAUGACGUGUGAAAUUUACCAUAGUGGGGCCAUGAGGACUUGACGCUUCCUCCGGUUUGUCAUCGGUAUCCAUUGAGUGUUCUUCGUAGUAAUCUACGACAGUAGUUCAGGACGAUUCUCUUCAACAUUUCACGAUCAUCUGGAGCCGACGACAGCCAUGCAGCAGUUUCAGGGCCCGCUCCCCGCGAGCACUCCUUAAAUCUCUUUCGAUUCCAGACAUGUCAUGCAGGUAAGGCUUCCUUUCGCGUUGCAUCGAAUUAAUCCACAUCAUCCACCGCUUGUGCGGGUCCUCGUCAUUCCUUUUCGGAGUUUUAAUCUGCGACCGUACUCCCUAGCGGCCAAAUCCUACGCGUUAGCCGCGCUACCGCCCGAAGGCCUCAACAGCUAGUUGACGUUUAGGCGGACUACCAGGUAUCUAAUCCUGUUUGCUCCCACGCUUUCGCAUGAGCGUCAGUGUUAUCCCAGGAGGUUGCUCGCCACUGCGUUCCUCCGCAUAUCUACGCAUUUUUAACUACCGAGGCUAGAGUGUCAGAGGGAGGUGGAAUCUCCGCGUGUAGCAGUGAAACGCGUAGAUAUGCGGAUACCCACUGAUGGCGAAGGAGCCUCCUGGGAUAACACUGACGCUCAUGCACGAAAGCGUGGGAGCAAACAGGAUUAGAUAAUUUCUGGUAGUCCACGCCCUAAACGAUGUCAACUAGCUGUUGGGGCCUUCGGGCCUUGGUAGCGCAGCUAACGCGUGAAGUUGACCGCCUGGGGAGUACGGUCGCAAAGAUUAAAACUCAAAGGAAUUGACGGGGACCUGCACAAGCGGUGGAUGAUGUGAUUAACGGACGCAACGCGAAAAACCUACCUACCCUGACAUGUCUGGAAUCCCGAAGAGAUUUGGGAGUGUCGCAAGAGAAUCGAACACAGGUGCUGCAUGGCUGUCGUCAGCUCGUGUCGUGAGAUGUUGGGCGUUGAGUCCCGCAACGAGCGUGCAACCCUUGUCAAUAGUUGCCACAAAGGGCACUCUAAUGAGACUGCCGGUGACAAACCGGAGGAAGGUGGGGAUGACGUCAAGUCCUCAUGGCCCUGGCGUAGGGACACAUCGCCAUAAGGUCGGUCGGGACAGAGGGUCGCCAACCCGCGAGGGGGAGCCAAUCCCAGAAACCCGAUCGUAGUCCGGAUCGCAGUCUGCAACUCGACCGCGUGAAGUCGGAAUCGCGCAGUAAUCGCGGAUCAGCAUGUCGCGGUACGUUCCGGUCUUGCACACACCGCCCGUCACACCAUGGGAGUGGGUUUUACCAGAAGUAGUUAGCCUAACCGUAAGGAGGGCGAUUACCACGGUAGGAUUCAUGACUGGGGUGAAGUCAACAAGGUA
This 1622-nucleotide unclassified non-coding RNA is filed under the name uncultured Bordetella sp. RNAcentral describes it as "partial 16S-23S ribosomal RNA intergenic spacer". The stretch from base 666 to 1622 matches the Rfam family "Bacterial small subunit ribosomal RNA". The record is from RNAcentral. Lineage: Bacteria; Pseudomonadati; Pseudomonadota; Betaproteobacteria; Burkholderiales; Alcaligenaceae.